AGCAGGUCAGGUGUUGAGGUGCUGAAA
This 27-nucleotide small RNA is filed under the name Bombyx mori (domestic silkworm). RNAcentral's name for it is "ovarian small RNA-12045". Lineage: Eukaryota; Metazoa; Arthropoda; Insecta; Lepidoptera; Bombycidae. The record is from RNAcentral.